This 76-nucleotide transfer RNA is filed under the name Maribacter sp. RNAcentral's name for it is "tRNA-Asn". It matches the Rfam family "tRNA". Rfam says of the family: Transfer RNA (tRNA) molecules are approximately 80 nucleotides in length. Their secondary structure includes four short double-helical elements and three loops (D, anti-codon, and T loops). Lineage: Bacteria; Pseudomonadati; Bacteroidota; Flavobacteriia; Flavobacteriales; Flavobacteriaceae. The record is from RNAcentral.
UCCCCGAUAACUCAGUUGGUAGAGUGGGUGACUGUUAAUCACCUUGUCGCUGGUUCGAGUCCAGCUCGGGGAGCCA